ACCAGACUCCUACGGGAGGCAGCAGUGGGGGAUAUUGCACAAUGGGGGAAACCCUGAUGCAGCGACGCCGCGUGAGUGAAGAAGUAUUUCGGUAUGUAGAGCUCUAUCAGCAGGGAAGAAAAAAGACGGUACCUGACUAAGAAGCCCCGGCUAACUACGUGCCAGCAGCCGCGGUAAUACGUAGGGGGCAAGCGUUAUCCGGAUUUACUGGGUGUAAAGGGGGCGCAGACGGCGAUGCAAGCCAGGAGUGAAAGCCCGGGGCCCAACCCCGGGACUGCUCUUGGAACUGCGUGGCUGGAGUGCAGGAGGGGCAGGCGGAAUUCCUGGUGUAGCGGUGAAAUGCGUAGAUAUCAGGAGGAACACCGGUGGCGAAGGCGGCCUGCUGGACUGCAACUGACGUUGAGGCCCGAAAGCGUGGGGAGCAAACAGGAUUAGAUACCCCAGUAGU
RNAcentral lists this ribosomal RNA (448 nucleotides) under uncultured bacterium. RNAcentral describes it as "bacterial SSU rRNA". It matches the Rfam family "Bacterial small subunit ribosomal RNA", at positions 330 to 794 of the family's 1533-position model. The record is from RNAcentral.